RNAcentral lists this ribosomal RNA (523 nucleotides) under uncultured Agrococcus sp. RNAcentral describes it as "bacterial SSU rRNA". It matches the Rfam family "Bacterial small subunit ribosomal RNA", at positions 96 to 633 of the family's 1533-position model. Lineage: Bacteria; Bacillati; Actinomycetota; Actinomycetes; Micrococcales; Microbacteriaceae. The record is from RNAcentral.
UGGCGAACGGGUGAGUAAUACGUGAGCAAUGUGCCCUUGACUCUGGGAUAAGCGCUGGAAACGGCGUCUAAUACCGGAUACGACGACCGGAGGCAUCUCCUGGUCGUGGAAAGAAUUUCGGUCAAGGAUCAGCUCACGGCCUAUCAGUUAGUUGGUGAGGUAAUGGCUCACCAAGACGACGACGGGUAGCCGGCCUGAGAGGGUGACCGGCCACACUGGGACUGAGACACGGCCCAGACUCCUACGGGAGGCAGCAGUGGGGAAUAUUGCACAAUGGGCGCAAGCCUGAUGCAGCAACGCCGCGUGAGGGACGAAGGCCUUCGGGUUGUAAACCUCUUUUAGCAGGGAAGAAGCGAAAGUGACGGUACCUGCAGAAAAGGCACCGGCGAACUACGUGCCAGCAGCCGCGGUAAUACGUAGGGUGCAAGCGUUGUCCGGAAUUAUUGGGCGUAAAGAGCUCGUAGGCGGUUUGUCACGUCUGCUGUGAAAACCCGAGGCUCAACCUCGGGCUUGCAGUGGGUAC